Molecule: ribosomal RNA, 1409 nt
Filed under: bacterium NLAE-zl-G518
Lineage: Bacteria
Description: bacterial SSU rRNA
Rfam family: Bacterial small subunit ribosomal RNA
Source: RNAcentral
GCUUCCAUGCAGUCGAGGGGCGCAUUUCAGUUUGNUUGCAAACUGGAGAUGGCGACCGGCGCACNGGUGAGUAACACGCUAUCCNACCUGCCGAUAACUCGGGGANAGCCUUUCGAAAGAAAGAUUAAUACCCGAUGGUAUAAUCAGACCGCAUGGUCUUGUUAUUAANGAAUUUCGGUUAUCGAUGGGGAUGCGUUCCAUUAGGCAGUUGGUGAGGUAACGGCUCACCAAACCUUCGAUGGAUAGGGGUUCUGAGAGGAAGGUCCCCCACAUUGGAACUGAGACACGGUCCAAACUCCUACGGGAGGCAGCAGUGAGGAAUAUUGGUCAAUGGGCGCAGGCCUGAACCAGCCAAGUAGCGUGAAGGAUGACUGCCCUAUGGGUUGUAAACUUCUUUUAUAUGGGAAUAAAGUUUUCCACGUGUGGAAUUUUUGUAUGUACCAUAUGAAUAAGGAUCGGCUAACUCCGUGCCAGCAGCCGCGGUAAUACGGAGGAUCCGAGCGUUAUCCGGAUUUAUUGGGUUUAAAGGGAGCGUAGGUGGACAGUUAAGUCAGUUGUGAAAGUUUGCGGCUCAACCGUAAAAUUGCAGUUGAUACUGGCUGUCUUGAGUACAGUAGAGGUGGGCGGAAUUCGUGGUGUAGCGGUGAAAUGCUUAGAUAUCACGAAGAACUCCGAUUGCGAAGGCAGCUCACUGGACUGCAACUGACACUGAUGCUCGAAAGUGUGGGUAUCAAACAGGAUUAGAUACCCUGGUAGUCCACACAGUAAACGAUGAAUACUCGCUGUUUGCGAUAUACAGUAAGCGGCCAAGCGAAAGCAUUAAGUAUUCCACCUGGGGGAGUACGCCGGCAACGGUGAAACUCAAAGGAAUUGACGGGGGCCCGCACAAGCGGAGGAACAUGUGGUUUAAUUCGAUGAUACGCGAGGAACCUUACCCGGGCUUAAAUUGCAUUUGAAUAUAUUGGAAACAGUAUAGCCGUAAGGCAAAUGUGAAGGUGCUGCAUGGUUGUCGUCAGCUCGUGCCGUGAGGUGUCGGCUUAAGUGCCAUAACGAGCGCAACCCUUAUCUUUAGUUACUAACAGGUCAUGCUGAGGACUCUAGAGAGACUGCCGUCGUAAGAUGUGAGGAAGGUGGGGAUGACGUCAAAUCAGCACGGCCCUUACGUCCGGGGCUACACACGUGUUACAAUGGGGGGUACAGAAGGCAGCUACCUGGUGACAGGAUGCUAAUCCCAAAAGCCUCUCUCAGUUCGGAUCGAAGUCUGCAACCCGACUUCGUGAAGCUGGAUUCGCUAGUAAUCGCGCAUCAGCCAUGGCGCGGUGAAUACGUUCCCGGGCCUUGUACACACCGCCCGUCAAGCCAUGAAAGCCGGGGGUACCUGAAGUACGUAACCGCAAGGAGCUCCUAGG